AGAAAGUCACAAAAACAAAAACAUUGCCAUUUUAUUUAUUUUUUGAAAAAUGAAAAACAAAAAUAGAAAGACAGGGAUCACAAAAAUUGUUUGCAAAACAUCCUUUAUUAAUGAUAAUCAUUUAAAACAUGAUGUGGCCCUACAAUGAACCACUACGUCUUGGGCAGAACGUAGGGUUUUGUGCAGAAUGAAAAAACAAAAGAAAAUUACUCUGUUUGAAGAGUAACUUGGACUACAUCUUCUGUCGUCCAAUUGUUGAUCGUC
This 264-nucleotide long non-coding RNA is filed under the name Lathyrus oleraceus (garden pea). RNAcentral describes it as "Pisum sativum (pea) long non-coding RNA (PSAT_LNC002654)". Lineage: Eukaryota; Viridiplantae; Streptophyta; Magnoliopsida; Fabales; Fabaceae. The record is from RNAcentral.